UACGUAUGUCACGAGCGUUAUCCGGAUUUAUUGGGCGUAAAGCGCGUCUAGGUGGUUAUAUAAGUCUGAUGUGAAAAUGCAGGGCUCAACUCUGUAUUGCGUUGGAAACUGUAUAACUAGAGUCCCUCGCAGAGGUAAGCGGAACUACAAGUGUAGAGGUGAAAUUCGUAGAUAUUUGUAGGAAUGCCGAUGGGGAAGCC
Molecule: ribosomal RNA, 200 nt
Filed under: uncultured Fusobacteriales bacterium
Lineage: Bacteria; Fusobacteriati; Fusobacteriota; Fusobacteriia; Fusobacteriales
Description: partial 16S ribosomal RNA
Rfam family: Bacterial small subunit ribosomal RNA
Source: RNAcentral